GGAGGUUAAAGAGACGGGCUCCGUUCCCCGUCCGCCUUGACAAAGCUCCGCUUCGUCUUGGCCCUCGAGUUCUCCAUCUUCCCUAGCUUCUCUUCUGCAUCUCUUAUUCUUUUGUUCAAUUUUUGUUGUUGUUGCUGAGAUGGCGCCCAAGUUGUCCAAGGCUGACAAGAAAGUUUUGUACGACAAGAAGCUCUGCGAUCUCCUCAACGAGUACAGUCAGGUUUUGGUUGCGGGGGCGGACAAUGUUGGAUCGAAUCAGCUGCAGAGCAUCCGCAGCGGGCUGAGGGGGGAGUCGGUCGUUCUCAUGGGCAAGAACACGCUGAUCCGUCGGUGCAUCAAGUUUCAUGCUGAGAGGACUGGCAAUACUGCUUAUCUCAACUUAAUUCCUCUCCUUGUGGGCAAUGUGGGGUUAAUUUUCACCAAAGGAGAUCUGAAGGAAGUG
RNAcentral lists this unclassified non-coding RNA (442 nucleotides) under Hevea brasiliensis (rubber tree). Lineage: Eukaryota; Viridiplantae; Streptophyta; Magnoliopsida; Malpighiales; Euphorbiaceae. The record is from RNAcentral.